GGGCCCCUGGACAAGUUGUGGUGGGUGGGCACUAGGGGGAUUUGGGGAGCAGGAUCACAGACUUAGACUUGAGGAAGAGGCAGGUGAUGUGCAGGCAGGUGGUGGGGAAGGAGGAAAGGAGGGGAGAUGAGCAGGUAUGUGGUGUAGGUAGGAAGGAGGAGGAGAAGUUCUUGAAAGCUGGGGGAUGUGUAGAGAAGAGGCGGGUUGAGCAGGAUCCCAGGUUUAUGUCAGGAUGUGUAGAGAAGAGGCGGGUUGAGCAGGAUCCCAGGUUUAUGUCAGGAGAGGAAGAGAAGAAGCAGAAGUCAGAGAAAUGUCUGUACAAACUGGAAGAAUCCUUCUCACUUCUGGGACAAGGGAUAGGAGCCAACCUAAGCAGGAGUAACUGGGACUGGGUGAGAUCUGGCACUUCCUCCCGGGCUUCCUGUGGCGGUCCCCAGGUGCACCCAGCGACCAGGUCCAGUCACAGCUGGUCAGGCCCAUGGCCAGGGAGGGAACCCUGCAAGUUGUAUGCUUGUGAGUGUUCGGCUGCCUCACAGUGUCUUGACGCAUCCUGGAACGUGAGAAGCCUGUGGCCCUGGCACACCCUGACAGAUGCCUGGGGGGCAGGAGGGAGCAAGGGGAUCUCAAUGCCCUACCUACCCCAGGUCACAGAGCCAACCCAUCAGGAUUCAGAGUGGUCACCCCCAUUCACAGGUAGGUGUUGUCAGCCCCCGUGGGUGAGGCCCCCAGAGCAGAAGUGCGAAGCCUGCCUCUGCCUCUGCUUACUUAUUUAGAGUAUGGAGACAUAUGUCCCUUUAACCAUUCAUUCAUUUAGCAAAUACUUAUUGGACAUCCAUGAUACCCCAGCCUCCGGCACUGGGAACAUAGCAGGGAAUACAGAGGCUCACAGUCCCUAACCUUCCUGGAGUGCUGUCAGGGGAGAGGGUGACAGACAGCAGCUGCACUGAUGAACACAGGCAGAGCCUCUCCGGACGCAUCCCAGAGCCCCCCCCCAUCCUCUGGGGGAUGCAGCGAGCCUGUGGUUGGUGGACUGGCUCACGAACCCGGAGCAGUCCUUCGACUCUCGCACGUCGUGAGUUCCCCGCUGCUUCCACCACCGUUAGGCAUUCGCCAAGAAGCCUGCCCAGCAGUUUCCACCCCUCAUUCCUGUGGAUUGGAGAUGGAAAAGGUUGGGGCCCAAGAACCUUGGGAGUGCGUCAGCUUGUGUCUUGGUUUGUGAGGAAGUUACUGCCUCUCGUUGUGGCCAGGCCCUUCCGGUAGCCACGAGGCAGUCUGCAAGAAGCACACUGUCUGUGAAAAGAGAACAGAGUUCACCAUUCGGAAGUCCUGCAUCUUUACCCUAGAGGUGAGACAUUACCCAUGUCGACCCACUCGCCCUUCUGCACUGCAACAGGGCUGGCAGUGAGCCGGAUGCAUGCAGUGUGCUGAGCUGGAAGGAACACCAGCCUCGGAGCUGAGAUAGAUGUCUUUAAGUCCUGGCUCAUCUUAGCCCAGCGACCUUGAUGGGAUGACCUUGAGAGACAUGUGUUCAGAGCAACAAACUAUGCGGGAUGAAUUGAGGACCAGGGCUCCAGGUCCUUGCCAACUCUGACGUGCUAUCGUUCUUUGAUUUUAUGUACACAUAUAUUUUUUUUCUGUUUGUUAAGAACUAACUCAAGAAUAUUUCCUUUAGUUAGUUUAAAAAGAAAAAAAUAUUUUAUUUAAUAAACAAGUUUGUGGCCAAAUGCUGUGCUGAGGAGACAAUCAUCGUAUACCUUUAUAAUUUUUCUUCCUGCUUCUGAGUGUCAUCCGACGAUGCCGAUAGGCUUAUUGUGUUGGGUUUCUGCUUGCGGGUCUGGUUUGAUUGCCUUGGUUUGUCACACGGAGGAAAUUAUCUUGGCAGCUGCCUCCUGUAAGUGAACUCCUGGAGAAAGCGAGUUUGCCUUUCAAUAAACGAUAUCACCCAACAGGAGUCUUGGCUCUCCCGUUAUUUCAACUCCCUUGUUUUCUCCAGAUCUUGGCUCCCUGUCUGCCAAGAAACAGCCCAGCUGAAUGGCUGGAAAGUACUCAAGGUAGAGGAACUUGGGGCAUUCCAGGCUGGGAGUUGGGUGGGAGGGGGUGAGGGGGGAACACAGAGGAUUAAAUGUAC
Molecule: long non-coding RNA, 2128 nt
Organism: Bos grunniens (domestic yak)
Lineage: Eukaryota; Metazoa; Chordata; Mammalia; Artiodactyla; Bovidae
Source: Ensembl